Molecule: long non-coding RNA, 289 nt
Filed under: Lathyrus oleraceus (garden pea)
Lineage: Eukaryota; Viridiplantae; Streptophyta; Magnoliopsida; Fabales; Fabaceae
Description: Pisum sativum (pea) long non-coding RNA (PSAT_LNC026298)
Source: RNAcentral
GAUUUUUUCCCUUUUAAGGGACCACUCCCAACAAACUCACUCCACACUCUCCAAUAGAAAAGAGGAUAAAAAAAAUGAAUAGAAAUAAAGGGAAAAGGGGCCACCAACUAAAAUCUCUCUUGCUCACUAAAAAACAAAAGAAAUACUCUCUCUCUCACGGAUCUCCAACGGACAAAAGAGAAAAAGAAAAGAGAAAGUUGUAAAGUGGAUCACACACAAAAAAAAACCUCACGCCCUCUCUCCUCUCUCAGACUCUCUCUCUCACAUAAAAAAAGAAAGGAAGACAUUA